GGCAAGUUAGCUCAGUUGGUUAGAGUGUGGUGCUGAUAACACCAAGGUCACGGGUUCGAUCCCCAUUUGGUCC
Molecule: transfer RNA, 73 nt
Filed under: Apaloderma vittatum (bar-tailed trogon)
Lineage: Eukaryota; Metazoa; Chordata; Aves; Trogoniformes; Trogonidae
Rfam family: tRNA
About the family: Transfer RNA (tRNA) molecules are approximately 80 nucleotides in length.
Source: Rfam by way of RNAcentral